This is a non-coding RNA of Phrynosoma platyrhinos (Desert horned lizard), 72 nucleotides long. Lineage: Eukaryota; Metazoa; Chordata; Lepidosauria; Squamata; Phrynosomatidae. The record is from the annotation of a GenBank genome assembly.
GCCAGUGUGGCAUAGUGGUUUGAGCAUUGGACUAGAACUCUAGAGACCAGAGUUUGAAUCCUGGCUGGGCCA